AUAGACCUGUCCAGACUGAAACCGUUGCAAAAUUUGAAAUCUCAGACAUUCAGUGCUAACCAUAAAGGAUCUAAGUGGCAUUUUAGCUAUUUUGGAGAUAUCAUCUUGUUUUUGAAUGUUGUGUACAUUAUUGUGGAAUUUUCAAAGAAAACAUUUAUCUAAAUGUGACAAGAUUGUGGAAUUGUUUGGUUGUUGUAAUUGAACUAAGAAUGACCUGAGACAGGAAGUUAUGCAAGAAUCAUAGUAAACAGUUUCAGGAACAGCUGUAUGGAUAUGUAAAGUAGAGUGAUGACUUCUCAAAAGCCAGCAGGCUCCUGUUCAGAAAACUUUAUAGUGUUGAAGAAUACAGGGGCAGGUGUUUUACUGGCAACAGUACCAACACUAAAACCAAAAUCAAUUAAGGCCAGCAUUGGAGGACACAAUAUUACUGAAAGUCUUUCAUGAGUUGAUCAAGAGAAAAAGGCCAUAAUAAUGUGACUUUUGAAGCUGUCCAGAAAUUGACAUUGACAUUGAUGUUACCAAGAGGAAUAAAAAUUGUUUUAAUAGUUAUAAUAUUUUAUGUUUUGUAUUCUACCAGUGUUACAUAUAGUGUUUAAAAGUGAUGGAGGGCGAGUUUAUCAAUAAGUCAGGGAUUAAGGCAACUAGUUAUAAGAAUGAUGAAAAUUCCAUAUCUCAAAGGGGCAAUUGUAAGAAAGCACAGAAAUUACAAGCAUCAAAGA
Molecule: long non-coding RNA, 719 nt
Organism: Ruditapes philippinarum (Manila clam)
Lineage: Eukaryota; Metazoa; Mollusca; Bivalvia; Venerida; Veneridae
Exons: 3
Source: RefSeq, a predicted model, not a curated record